GAUUAACGCUGGCGGCAUGCCUAAUACAUGCAAAUCGAACGAAGCACUUGUGCUUAGUGGUGAACGGGUGAGUAACACGUGGGUAACCUGCCCAAAAGAAGGGGAUAACAUUUGGAAACAAGUGCUAAUACCGUAUAACCAUGAUGACCGCAUGGUCAUGAUGUAAAAGGUGGUUUUGCUAUCGCUUUUGGAUGGACCCGCGGCGUAUUAACUAGUUGGUAAGGUAACGGCUUACCAAGGUGAUGAUACGUAGCCGAACUGAGAGGUUGAUCGGCCACAAUGGGACUGAGACACGGCCCAUACUCCUACGGGAGGCAGCAGUAGGGAAUCUUCCACAAUGGGCGCAAGCCUGAUGGAGCAACGCCGCGUGAAUGAAGAAGGUCUUCGGAUCGUAAAGUUCUGUUAUUAGAGAAGAACACGUGUAAGAGUAACUGAUUAUGCGUUGACGGUAUCUAAUCAGCAAGUCACGGCUAACUACGUGCCAGCCGCCGCCGUAAGAC
RNAcentral lists this ribosomal RNA (500 nucleotides) under uncultured bacterium. RNAcentral describes it as "bacterial SSU rRNA". It matches the Rfam family "Bacterial small subunit ribosomal RNA", at positions 28 to 526 of the family's 1533-position model. The record is from RNAcentral.